CAAGUCGAACGCUGAGGCCCAGCUUGCUGGGUUGGAUGAGUGGCGAACGGGUGAGUAACACGUGAGUAACCUGCCCCCUUCUUUGGGAUAACGGUCGGAAACGGCUGCUAAUACCGGGUAUUCACUGUCCUUCGCAUGGGGGGUGGUGGAAAGGUUUUUUCUGGUGGGGGAUGGGCUCGCGGCCUAUCAGCUUGUUGGUGGGGUGAUGGCUUACCAAGGCUUUGACGGGUAACCGGCCUGAGAGGGUGACCGGUCACAUUGGGACUGAGAUACGGCCCAGACUCCUACGGGAGGCAGCAGUGGGGAAUAUUGCACAAUGGGCGAAAGCCUGAUGCAGCGACGCCGCGUGAGGGAUGACGGCCUUCGGGUUGUAAACCUCUUUCGCUCAUGGUCAAGCCGCAACAGUGGUUGUGGUGAGGGUAGUGGGUAAAGAAGCACCGGCUAACUACGUGCCAGCAGCCGCGGUAAUACGUAGGGUGCGAGCGUUGUCCGGAAUUAUUGGGCGUAAAGGGCUUGUAGGCGGUUUGUCGCGUCUGCCGUGAAAUCCUCUGGCUUAACUGGGGGCGUGCGGUGGGUACGGGCAGGCUUGAGUGCGGUAGGGGAGACUGGAACUCCUGGUGUAGCGGUGGAAUGCGCAGAUAUCAGGAA
RNAcentral lists this ribosomal RNA (648 nucleotides) under uncultured Actinomycetes bacterium. RNAcentral's name for it is "bacterial SSU rRNA". It matches the Rfam family "Bacterial small subunit ribosomal RNA", at positions 58 to 703 of the family's 1533-position model. Lineage: Bacteria; Bacillati; Actinomycetota; Actinomycetes. The record is from RNAcentral.